RNAcentral lists this ribosomal RNA (307 nucleotides) under Draculoides anachoretus. Its description in RNAcentral is "partial small subunit ribosomal RNA". Lineage: Eukaryota; Metazoa; Arthropoda; Arachnida; Schizomida; Hubbardiidae. The record is from RNAcentral.
GAUUUUAUUUGUUGUUCAUAAUUAAUUCUAAAAGUAUUGGCGGUAUUUAGUUAAAUUCUGAGGAACUUGUCUAUUUAAAUUGAUAAUACUCAUUAAAUUUUAUCUAUAAAUUGUUUUAUGUAUUGCUGUUUAAUUUAUUGUUUAUUAUUUUAAAUAAAUUUAAUUAAUUUUUUUUAAAGAGUUCAAGUCAAAAUGUAGAUUUUAUAGGGUUAGAUGAGUUACGUUUAUAGUGAAAUAUGAGGCUGUAAAUUUUAUUGAAAUAUAAAUGAAUGGAAGGUUGGAUUAGGGAGUAAAAAUAAAUUAAUUA